AGAUACCCUGGUAGUCCACGCCGUAAACGAUGAGUGCUAAGUGUUGGAGGGGUUCCACCCUUCAGUGCUGGAGUUAACGCAAUAAGCACUCCGCCUGGGGAGUACGGCCGCAAGGCUGAAACUCAAAGGAAUUGACGGGGACCCGCACAAGCGGUGGAGCAUGUGGCUUAAUUCGAAGCAACGCGAAGAACCUUACCAGGCCUUGACAUCCCGACGACCGCUCUAGAGAUAGAGUUUUUCUUCGGAACGUCGGUGACAGGUGGUGCAUGGUUGUCGUCAGCUCGUGUCGUGAGAUGUUGGGUNNNNNNNNNNNNNCGAGCGCAACCCCUAUAACUAGUUGCCAGCAUUCAGAUGGGGACUCUAGUUAGACUGCCGGUGACAAACCGGAGGAAGGUGGGGAUGACGUCAAAUCAUCAUGCCCCUUAUGACCUGGGCUACACACGUGCUACAAUGGAUGGUACAACGAGCAGCGAACUCGCGAGGGUAAGGGAAUCUCUAAAAGCCAUUCUCAGUUCGGAUUGUAGUCUGCAACUCGACUACAUGAAGCCGGAAUCGCUAGUAAUCGCGGAUCAGCACGCCGCGGUGAAUACGUUCCCGGGUCU
RNAcentral lists this ribosomal RNA (602 nucleotides) under uncultured bacterium. Its description in RNAcentral is "partial 16S ribosomal RNA". It matches the Rfam family "Bacterial small subunit ribosomal RNA", at positions 780 to 1381 of the family's 1533-position model. The record is from RNAcentral.